AACUUUUGGCAAUGGAUCACUUGGUUCCCGCAUCGAUGAAGAACGCAGCGAAACGCGAUAGUUAAUGUGAAUUGCAGAAUUCAGUGAAUCAUCGAGUCUUUGAACGCACAUUGCGCCUUCCGGUAUUCCGGGAGGCACGUCCGUUUGAGCGUCAUUAAAACCUUCCGGUCCGCGGAUUUUUCGGAUUCCGCGGGCACGGGUUGCUGGCGCGGGGAUGCCGGCCGCCGCGCUCCGGCGCGGCCUGGCCCUCCCCCGCUUAAACGCGGAGAAAAGCUAGCGGGCAGGUGCCCCCAUCGCGAACGACUCGUAGUACACUCCCUGUCGUUGCCAGCCUUGGGACACGCCCCGCCUAUUCCAACCGCGGGUGUGAAACCACCCCCAGAACUCUUGACCUCAAAUCGGACGAGGAUACCCGCUGAACUUAAGCAUAUCAAUAAGCGGAGGCU
This 446-nucleotide unclassified non-coding RNA is filed under the name uncultured fungus. Its description in RNAcentral is "sequence contains ITS2". The stretch from base 1 to 154 matches the Rfam family "5.8S ribosomal RNA". Lineage: Eukaryota; Fungi. The record is from RNAcentral.